Long non-coding RNA from Physeter macrocephalus (sperm whale), 624 nucleotides. RefSeq lists it as uncharacterized. Lineage: Eukaryota; Metazoa; Chordata; Mammalia; Artiodactyla; Physeteridae. The transcript is spliced from 2 exons. The record is from RefSeq and is a predicted model, not a curated record.
CGGCGGCGUGGCGGGCGGGGCGGCCCGGGAGCCACACCCUGAAACUACCUGUGCGCGACAGGAAGGGCCCGGCAGAGCCUCGGCGGCCGGAGCGCUGGGCCUGAGACCGGAACCAGGCCCGCCCCGCGCCCCGACCCCGCGGCGAUGGCCUGAGCCACACGGCCUCCGGCACCAUGAAGAGCGAGCGGGCGCGCAGGGGCACAGGCGGCUCCGGGGGCCUCGGCGCGGGACUCAAGUACACCUCGCGGCCGGAGCAACUAUAUGCGAAAAACGCCUAGUUUACAGAUGACAACACUGAGAUUCAGAGGGCUUGCAUAAUGGCCCAAAGGCAGAGGCACAGCAAGAGUUCAAACCUAGAUCUGUGCAACUUCAAAGCUUAUAGCCUUAACCGCAAAGCCAUUGUACAGCUGUAUGCCAAAGACAGGGUGAUUGAUGCACACCCCAGCAAAAUCCUAGAACACAUCGUUCAACAGCGUACUGAGAACCAGGUGCCAACACGAAUCCACUAAGGACCUCUCACACCACGCUCCUCUGGUUUCUCCUCUUGAUGAGGUUACUCACCUGAUAGACCAGAAGACCGGCUGGAGAUGGGAUUUCAACAGGCUUUGAAAAAUGUAGCUUUGU